RNAcentral lists this ribosomal RNA (313 nucleotides) under uncultured Pseudomonas sp. RNAcentral describes it as "bacterial SSU rRNA". It matches the Rfam family "Bacterial small subunit ribosomal RNA", at positions 1073 to 1382 of the family's 1533-position model. The record is from RNAcentral. Lineage: Bacteria; Pseudomonadati; Pseudomonadota; Gammaproteobacteria; Pseudomonadales; Pseudomonadaceae.
UGUUGGGUUAAGUCCCGUAACGAGCGCAACCCUUGUCCUUAGUUACCAGCACGUUAUGGUGGGCACUCUAAGGAGGACUGCCGGUGGACAAACCGGAGGAAGGUGGGGAGUGACGUCAAGUCAUCAUGGCCCUUACGGCCUGGGCUACACACGUGCUACAAUGGUCGGUACAAAGGGUUGCCAAGCCGCGAGGUGGAGCUAAUCCCAUAAAACCGAUCGUAGUCCGGAUCGCAGUCUGCAACUCGACUGCGUGAAGUCGGAAUCGCUAGUAAUCGUGAAUCAGAAUGUCACGGUGAAUACGUUCCCGGGCCUU